AUGAAUGCGAAGGAUGACUUCCAUACAAGCUUGGAUAAGUUUAAUUUUCCAAAUAUCGAUGCACAUCUAGAUGAAAUGUCAGUAUUCAGGGAUGAAGAAGAAUACCACGAAAGAGCAAUAGACCGGAGGAAUCUUGAAGUAGAUUAUUGGCCAGACAAAGCAAUGGACCAACAGAGAACCCAAGAACCAAGCUGCCGUUUGUCACUUCAAGAGAAAUUUGCUGACUGGGGUUCUUGUACCUCCCAUCUGAAGGGUAGCACUCGACGAAACAACCCACCGAGUUGCUCUGUAAUGCGCGAGGAUAAGCCUUUUGAUUCUAUUCCAGAUAUGGAUGGAUUUCAAACUGUGGGAUCAACUGAAUGGAGACCUACAUCAAAAGUUCGUCCUGUUUUCCACAGACCUGACAGUGUGUAUGAUGAGAUUCAUUGGCAGAAUCCUGUUUCAGAUAUAUUUAGCAAUAAAACGGAGUUCUCAGACCCAUUCCAUGCCACGGACCUUCCGAGCAACAUUGAUAUGUGUACUUUCUUGGGACAGAAGGCAGACAAGAAGAAAGAAGAUAAUUCUGACUCUCUCAAGAAAUCAAAUGCAGACAUAUUUCAUUCUGCGAGCUCUGUAAAUGAAACUGUGGUUGGUCAACACACUACAUGUUCUCAGGAGUCUGGCAAGGAUUCACUAAGGCAAGGGUAUGAUCCUAGUAUUGAUUUUCAGGAGUCCAGACUACAUUCAUUCUGGGAAGAUGGCCAUGUUAAUGAUGACACUUUUCAGGGUGAUACUGAGCUGAGUAGCCUGUUGGCAAGAAAAAAUGAUGAGAAGAAUAAAGGCAGGACUUGGAGGCUCAAGAAGCCAGAAACAAAUACGUCGACACAAACAUCUAAACCUUCUGGAGAUUUCAGAAAUGAGAUGAGUGAAGCUGAAACAUGUUCUGAUGGCUCGGAAGUCACCAACUAUCCUGUGGUGCAGAAUGGAACAUCAGCAGCAGCAACGCAACUUCCUGCAAACUUGUGUCUUGAGGAAACCUCAAGAGGAAUGUUUCAAAUUCAUGCUCAAGUUGAUUGUGUAAGAACAAUGUACGUAGCGUGCCCUUCAAAUAUCAGUCUCUACUCAUUUCAUGGACUUACACGGAUGCUCUUUUCAUUCUCCAUUAACAGAGAAAAUCCUAGUGUUGACUUUGAAGCUCCAUUGCAUGUUAGAAACAUUAUUCAUGAUGUUGGAGAUCAUACCAAGGCCAAUCCAAUGUUCCAGUCUCCUUUCAUGGCAGAGAAGGUGGGGAUUGAGAAGAAGGUAAUAUCAGGUGUGUCAUCGAGCAACAGUGAUAUUCAGUUUGAGGUUAUGCUUGAACGUCGUGUUCUCCGACGGUUUUGUGUUCAGAAGAUAGUGGUAGAAACACCAAUGAAGGAUAGGCUAGAUUAUAGAAGUCGGGUAAUGAGUAUCAGUGUUUAUCGGGGAAAUAUUAUAAUUAAAUUGUGUGAUUUCAAUGAGCUAAGAGGGUUCGAUUAG
This 1497-nucleotide ribosomal RNA is filed under the name Triticum aestivum (bread wheat). RNAcentral describes it as "partial small subunit ribosomal RNA". Lineage: Eukaryota; Viridiplantae; Streptophyta; Magnoliopsida; Poales; Poaceae. The record is from RNAcentral.